Molecule: microRNA precursor, 103 nt
Filed under: Marmota monax (woodchuck)
Lineage: Eukaryota; Metazoa; Chordata; Mammalia; Rodentia; Sciuridae
Source: RNAcentral
AGAGGGAUAGCUGGGUCAAAUGGUGAUUCCAUUCCCAAUUUUCCAAGAAAUUUCCAUACUGCUUUCUGAAUUGGCUGCACCAAUUUAUAGUCCCACCAGCAGU